CGAAGCAACGCGAAGUAACCUUACCAGGUCUUGACAUCCCGAUGCUAUUUCUAGAGAUAGAAAGUUACUUCGGUACAUCGGUGACAGGUGGUGCAUGGUUGUCGUCAGCUCGUGUCGUGAGAUGUUGGGUUAAGUCCCGCAACGAGCGCAACCCUUGUCUUUAGUUGCCAUUAUUCAGUUGGGCACUCUAAAGAGACUGCCGGUGUCAAACCGGAGGAAGGUGGGGAUGACGUCAAAUCAUCAUGCCCCUUAUGACCUGGGCUACACACGUGCUACAAUGGUUGGUACAACGAGUUGCGAGUCGGUGACGGCGAGCUAAUCUCUUAAAGCCAAUCUCAGUUCGGAUUGUAGGCUGCAACUCGCCUACAUGAAGUCGGAAUCGCUAGUAAUCGCGGAUCAGCACGCCGCGGUGAAUACGUUCCCGGGCCUU
This 430-nucleotide ribosomal RNA is filed under the name uncultured Streptococcus sp. RNAcentral describes it as "bacterial SSU rRNA". It matches the Rfam family "Bacterial small subunit ribosomal RNA", at positions 952 to 1382 of the family's 1533-position model. The record is from RNAcentral. Lineage: Bacteria; Bacillati; Bacillota; Bacilli; Lactobacillales; Streptococcaceae.